CUUCCACCUAGUAUAGUUACAUCUGAGUCCGAUCUCUACCUUCGUCGAUUAUGGGGCCAGCCAAGUGAGGACUUAACCAUCAUACCAAAGUAUCUUGUAACUUUUACCGUUGGUUACAAUCAGAAAGACAAUAUUGAUGCAUCUGUGAAAAAGGUCAGACUUCUCCCCCUGCGCCUGUACACACGCAAUAUAUACAUUCCCUGGCAUGUCUGACUCUCUUAUCUAAAACUUCUGUUUUACAGUUUUCGGAGAAUUUCACGAUUAUAUUGUUUCAUUACGAUGGUCUUACCACUGAAUGGGAUGAGUUUGAAUGGUCAAAGCGAGCUAUUCACGUGAGUGUUCCAAAGCAGGCUAAAUGGUGGUAUGCAAAGCGCUUUCUGCACCCCGAUAUUGUUGCACCCUAUGAGCACAUUUUCAUGUGGGAUGAGGAUCUUGGGGUGGAGAACUUCGAUGCGGAAGAAUAAAUAAAACUUGUCCGAAAACAUGGUUUAGAAAUUUCCCAGCCUGGCUUAGAUGCAAGUAGUGCAGGAUUGACAUGGGCAAUGACAAGAAAGAGAGAUGACGGAGAAGUUCACAA
Molecule: long non-coding RNA, 577 nt
Organism: Hibiscus syriacus
Lineage: Eukaryota; Viridiplantae; Streptophyta; Magnoliopsida; Malvales; Malvaceae
Exons: 4
Source: RefSeq, a predicted model, not a curated record